RNAcentral lists this long non-coding RNA (1841 nucleotides) under Sus scrofa (pig). Its description in RNAcentral is "lncRNA (ENSSSCG00060021646.1)". The record is from RNAcentral. Lineage: Eukaryota; Metazoa; Chordata; Mammalia; Artiodactyla; Suidae.
GGGGGGUAGAGCUGGGGGGGUUGUUAUAGGAAACUCCCUGUAAUCAAACGAGCACAACUCGUUGAAUAGACGUGUUUUGCCUGAUUUUUCUGCACCAGUGCACGGUGUACCCUCUCAAUCAUCAGACACCUAAUUACCUUUGUUUUAGAGACUGUUCUCUCUCCUAUACUUGCCUAUUUUAGAUCUACUUCAUUUGUUUAGUUUCCUUUUGAGGGUUCCCCUGUUUAUCCACUGUGUCUCAUUUCCUCUGUCACUCUUUACUCCUUUUCAGGUAUUUUGUGCAUUGCUUUUUUCUAAGCCUGUCCUUCACGUCUCUCUUUCUCAGCAGUAUCUGACUUGUGAAGACCCUAGGUUGCUCAAUCUUUCAAAAAGGUUUUGAAACGAUUUUUCCUCUCGUCCACGUUUUUCCCUGGCACGCUUCCAGCUCCCAUUAUUUCUUUCCAUGGCUUUAUCCCGUCUUCUUUGAUCCCCCUGUCACUUCUUCCAAAGGGUUGGGUUUCACAGACACCAUUAAAAAAAAAAUCCCUCGCCUCGGCGGAGAAACGUUUGUUUAUACUGUUGCUCUGCUUUGCAAAGUAAUGCUUCGGAUGUUAUCUUCUCCAUCUGGCUUUUGUUUGGUAUGGUUCUUUCUUCUGCUCUCCAGUGAUAUCCAGGCUGGCUCUUUUCUGAUUAUGACUUAACGCUGCAUGGGAGCAGGUCCCCCCCCCACACCCCCCACUGGGUCAAGCACUAAAGUGGAUGAAGAGGACAGGAGGGUGUUCAACAGGACAGGACCUGAAGCACUUUCUGCCCACCUCUGGGGUGGGUCUCUGCUAAUCGCUCGUUUCCCCCCUCCCACCGAGAAAGACUACGUUUCACACGUGUGCGCGCAUGUGCAUGUGCGCAUGCGUAUUUACCUCCGGAGGUGACUUUCCCGUGGCUUUCGGGUCCGAUGGUGAUCGCCGCCUCUCCACCUUUCGGUACCGACGACUACCUUUCCACGAAGGUGGUCAGACAGGGAGUGAUACUGACCAAGGCUGAAGAGGAUGCUGAGACCCGAGGUGUCUUCAAAACAUCCACAGGCUUCAAGGACCUGGGCCAUGUCUCGAGGAGACAAGGACAAAGCAGGGGUGUAGCCACCAGCUUGCCCUGCUCCCAGGUGGGUGGCAGAGAAGAGCAGACGAGGUUACUGAUGCAGGGGCCUGGGGGCCAGGCAAAGGGUGCCGAGGGGAUGCAAGAGCUUGGGAGAACAGGGCCCCCAUUGGCCGGUGGAGCGGCUGGGUGCCUGACUCAUUCCUCCCGGCUGGACAGGCUGGCCUUGACCUUCCUUCCUGCUCUUUCCACUCGCUUUCCCCAUUUAACUCACUGGUUCUUCAACCAAACCUGGUGCCUGGGCGGCUCCGAUCGUCCCUCCAUCUCUUUGAGGGUGUGGCGCUUGCCUCCUGUGUUCCAGAGACACCAAGUCCCCCUGUGACGCAUGAGGGAUUCACUGGAGACCAGAGGGCUGAUGGGGUGGCUGCACCUUGACUCCUAGAGCCUGGGAAGUCCCACAAUCAGACAUCAGAACAGGUGCCACAGUGUGGUACACCCAUCCUCAAGUAUCUGCGCUGCUGCAACGGGCAAUGAAAAAGGCUUGAAAUGUGAUGGAAAGAGUCUCUGGUUUCCUCCACCUCAGCUCCCAGCUGCCCCUGUGCAUCUAUUUUUAGUGCAUCUAAUUUUGCAGGGAUCAAAGGCGGAUUGAAACCCUCAACAGGGAUGCAAAGAGGCCUAAGGUGAAGAAGGAGGAAAAGAGAGAGAAGGCUCACCGCCGCCGGGCUCAGGAGAGGGAAGGGGGAAGGCAGAGGGGAGGGAAGAGGAAGAAG